Molecule: long non-coding RNA, 149 nt
Filed under: Cottoperca gobio
Lineage: Eukaryota; Metazoa; Chordata; Actinopteri; Perciformes; Bovichtidae
Description: lncRNA (ENSCGOG00000004981.1)
Source: RNAcentral
CUGGAAUUUAUUGUUACACACGUGUGAAGUUUGGAGGCAUGGACUUGAUACAACAGUAAACAGAUGAACAUUACUGUAAGUAGAUUAGUAAAAUACUACUAAUAAAACAGUUAUAGUGAUUUUUAUUCAGAAUAAUAUUCAAACACAUG